UUCAGUACCAAACUGUUCGAUAUGAUAUCCUCCCCUUAUCUCCUGUGUCCCGGAAUCGGCUAGCCCAGGUGAAGAGGAAGAUCCUGGUGCUGGAUCUGGAUGAGACACUUAUUCACUCCCACCAUGAUGGGGUCCUGAGGCCCACAGUCCGGCCUGGUGGUAAUAGACAAACAUCCUGUCCGGUUUUUUGUACAUAAGAGGCCCCAUGUGGAUUUCUUCCUGGAAGUGGUGAGCCAGUGGUACGAGCUGGUGGUGUUUACAGCAAGCAUGGAGAUCUAUGGCUCUGCUGUGGCAGAUAAACUGGACAAUAGCAGAAGCAUUCUUAAGAGGAGAUAUUACAGACAGCACUGCACUUUGGAGUUGGGCAGCUACAUCAAGGACCUCUCUGUGGUCCACAGUGACCUCUCCAGCAUUGUGAUCCUGGAUAACUCCCCAGGGGCUUACAGGAG
Molecule: long non-coding RNA, 449 nt
Filed under: Homo sapiens (human)
Lineage: Eukaryota; Metazoa; Chordata; Mammalia; Primates; Hominidae
Description: HSALNT0236683
Source: RNAcentral